AUCCGGAGGGUCCAAGCGUUAUCCGGAAUCAUUGGGUUUAAAGGGUCCGCAGGCGGUCAAUUAAGUCAGAGGUGAAAGCCCAUCGCUCAACGAUGGAACUGCCUUUGAUACUGGUUGACUUGAGUUAUACGGAAGUAGAUAGAAUAAGUAGUGUAGCGGUGAAAUGCAUAGAUAUUACUUAGAAUACCGAUUGCGAAGGCAGUCUACUACGUAUAUACUGACGCUGAGGGACGAAAGCGUGGGGAGCGAACAGGAUUAGAUACCCUAGUAGUCC
This 274-nucleotide ribosomal RNA is filed under the name uncultured bacterium. RNAcentral's name for it is "partial 16S ribosomal RNA". It matches the Rfam family "Bacterial small subunit ribosomal RNA", at positions 523 to 796 of the family's 1533-position model. The record is from RNAcentral.